GGCUCUCCAGGUCUCCCUUUGUCAUUCUAGGGGAGUUCCCACAGGCAGGGGCUGUGCUCAGUGCUGGUGCGGCAGCAGGGCUGACACCUCCAGCAUCCUGAGAACUCAGCCACAUGGGGAUCUGCGGCAUCUCACGGCUCAGUGAAGCCACCUCAGCUCUGCAGCCUCCCUGACCACAUGUCCUCCAAUUAGGAUUUUUGUCCCUGAUUUGGGACUGCAGAGUUCCAUGUAGCGAGGGCCUCUGAUUGAGAUUGUACCCCGACGUUUCUGCAAUCUUGAUGGCUAGAAGAGAGAAGCCCUCACCAUGGUAAAGCUGCCAGCACGCUUCUGACUCAUGUUUUGGGGGAAGACACAAAUGGGUCUUUGGUUUUGCAGUAGUAACAGCAGGGUUCUCUUCUGGCAUGGAGGAGUCUGAGGCAUAACCAUGUAAUGGGUUGUCUUCACUGUGGGCAGAAAUUCAUGGGGAGAGGAUUUCAGUUGUUUGGUAAAGAGGCUGACACCAGGUUGAGCCCAGAGAAAGCUGAGAAUAAGGGUCCUAGACUCAGUGACACAUCCAAACCCCUGACCCCGCUACAGGGAGAGGCAGGCCUGUGGUCCAACAUCAGGGGCUCUGAUGCAAGGGAGAAGACCCCUUAGCAGGGCCCAGCCCAAGGACCACAGGAGCUCUGCAUUCCAGGAUCCAGUUUUGAUGCUUGUCCAUUCCACUGUAGGAUUCCUGCUCAGACCUUUAGUAGUUUUGCUCAGCUUUCCUCUUUUAUCCUAGCCUUGACUGUGCUUUGAGGAAGCACCUGUAUCCAUGGGGUGGCCAUGGUGAGUGUGGCUGCAGCCUGCAGAAGCUAGUUACAGGGAGAUAGGAGAUGACAUGCAGGGAAUGAUGGGGUGAUUUAAGGCGAGAUAUGGGCCUGGUGCCAACCAGAAUGGAUUUGUGGGACAUAGGAGCAUCACUGGGCAUUUCCAAGAACAUUGAGGGGAGGUAAUCCUGGUGAACAGUGCAUAGGAUGCUCCAUGGAUAACAAGGGCAGGCUGGAGACCUUGGCACCUUGAGGGGAGAAUGAGCCACACAGACCCUGCAGGAGAUGGAUCAAAGACAAGUGAGCCAGCUAAGCAGGUCAGGGCUCCUUAGUCCCCUGGAGGUCCUCUGGCCCCUCCGUCACUCAGCAGGGAAAGGCAUUCCUCUGAGGUUGUUCCUUGCCCCUCAUUGCACGGGCUUUGCUGACCACCAGCCCCGACUUGGUCCAGCCCACUGCAUUCUGCUACAUCCUGCCCACUCCCUGUGGCUUCCACUGGCUGCACGA
Molecule: long non-coding RNA, 1295 nt
Filed under: Homo sapiens (human)
Lineage: Eukaryota; Metazoa; Chordata; Mammalia; Primates; Hominidae
Description: HSALNT0214713
Source: RNAcentral